Molecule: ribosomal RNA, 468 nt
Filed under: uncultured bacterium
Lineage: Bacteria
Description: partial 16S ribosomal RNA
Rfam family: Bacterial small subunit ribosomal RNA
Source: RNAcentral
GAUGAACGCUGGCGGCGUGCCUAACACAUGCAAGUCGAGCGAUUCUCUUCGGAGAAGAGCGGCGGACGGGUGAGUAACGCGUGGGUAACCUGCCCUGUACACACGGAUAACAUACCGAAAGGUAUGCUAAUACGGGAUAACAUAAGAAAUUCGCAUGUUUUUCUUAUCAAAGCUCCGGCGGUACAGGAUGGACCCGCGUCUGAUUAGCUAGUUGGUGAGGUAACGGCUCACCAAGGCAACGAUCAGUAGCCGACCUGAGAGGGUGAUCGGCCACAUUGGAACUGAGACACGGUCCAAACUCCUACGGGAGGCAGCAGUGGGGAAUAUUGCACAAUGGGCGAAAGCCUGAUGCAGCAACGCCGCGUGAGCGAUGAAGGCCUUCGGGUCGUAAAGCUCUGUCCUCAAGGAAGAUAAUGACGGUACUUGAGGAGGAAGCCCCGGCUAACUACGUGCCAGCAGCCGCAGUAA